GUCAGAAUCAAAGAACACAUAGUGCACUAUAAACCAUUUUAAUAUAGAUGAAACUGGACUUUACACUCUCCAAAUUGCACAAGCUUCUCAGCCCCUUAACCCACCCACCUGCAUAAACAUGUACACAAAAAACGCCAAGGCUGUUGGAGAAGUUCUUGCUGCUAGCAGCAUUUCUAAAAUUAAGGGACCUCACCAUCAGUGAUAUUCCAAACAUAUAAAGGUGGCUGACAACUCUAUCAACUAGCAAUGAAGAGGCCCAUGUGAUGUUUUUCAUGGUAGCACACGCCGUGUGUUAAUGGAAAAAUUCUAGAUUUUAAUAAUGCGACAAUUGAUCAUGGAUCAUUAUUAGAAAGGUAAGGUUUUCAUGGCACUCUUGCUUUUAUCCUUUGUUUUCCUGAUAGGUUUAUUUACCUCAGAACAUUUGACUGGCAGAUUGAGCACUUAUGGCUUAGCUGAAUACCAAAUAGAAGAGGGGAAUUGCAAUGUUAGCUUUUUUAGCAUGUACAAAUUUUCUUUUUCAUCUGUAUGAAGGGGCUUCAAUAAGCUUUUUCCAAUAUCUAAAGAUACCACACAUGCUUUCCUUAAGAUCAUUCAUUUGAAACUCCGCUGCUAUCGAUGCAUAUGUAUUUCGGUACAUGCACACAUUGCUUUUCAUUAUUCCCAUUCUACCUCAAAAUAAAUAUCACAGAUCUCAUUAUUACCUUUUCAAUUUCGUAUAUUGAUUGAUUAUUUUGAAAGAAUGCUAAACUCUUAUGUAUAGGUUGCAGCCCCCAAAAGAAAAGUAUUAUUUCCAAACUGAUACUCCUUGCUUCCUUAUAUUCUUUAGCAAUGCACUCAGUUUUGUAUUUCUAGCUUUAUGUCCCUUAGAUGAAAAUAUGAAACAAUGUUGGGUCCAUAGCUACUGUAUUACGAACUAAGUAGUAGUCCAUUUAUCUAAUUCUUUGGGCAUGUCCUCGCUGCUUUUUUUUUUGCUAUCGCUUUAGAGAAUUAUCUCAAAAGUUAUCUCCUUUUGAAGGUAGAUAUUGCAAAUUCAAGCAAACUAUAGUAAAAAUAGAAAAGAUGAAUGGGUCUUGCUUGGGUACAGGUUGCCUCUUGCAAACUGAUACUCUCCGAGUGAAAAGGGGCAAAGCCUUGCCUUUCUGAAAAUUUUUGUUCCGAGGUGCAGUUUCAGCAAAUUUAUGGGCGCAAACAAGGUGUUGAGUUCCACAAUGUUAGCUUAAUGUUGCAUGUUUGAUUUUUUUCUCCUACAUUUCUUAUCAAGAUUUGCAAUCCUGAAGUUUCCUUUUGAAUGAAGUAGACAUAAAAAAAUCAAAAGAAGUUCACAUGAGUAUUGUUUUCGGCGAGAACUGUUCCUUUUUCCAUUUGACACUAGCAGAAGUCUCUUACUCUCUAGAGCCCCAGAUGAAGACAUCAUCGACUAUGGGUGUAUCUCCUACUAGCCAGCCUUUAAACUUUAAUCAUUCUCUCCUCAAGAACCACACAAUACAGAUGAGCCAAUCAGUCCUCAACUCUUCUUCAGGAAUCAAAACAAGCUUAUCAUUGGUUUAUGUGUGCACCCACCAUUUUAACUCUCACCAAACCUCUAAUCUUUUCAGUUUAGGCCACCUACCACCUUAAAGGUCUAUACGAUGAUGUCAAAAUCAGUGUAAGCUCAAACAGCGCCGGUGAGAAGCCAAUGCUCUAGAUGUGGCAUCUAAAUAGCACGUGUCCGAAGGGUACAAUCCCAAUCAUAAGAAAUAAGAAGGAUGACUUGCUCCGAGCAGCUCCAUUAAGCGGUAUGGCAGGAAGUGACAUACUGCUCCGAACCUAGUGUUUGUUUGUUUUAACAUGUUUUGUGAGGAUGGUCACCAAGUAUGUCCACAUGGUUUGUUUUGCUGAAAUUGAAGAGCUCGGUAGCUACAUUGAUAUGUUGUGAUUACUAAACUAUUGCCAUUGCUUGAUGCAGCAUGCCAUAGCGUAUGCCGAGGGCGAUAAAUAAUAUGGUGCAAAAUCCAGCAUUAAUGUUUGGGAGCACAAGAUUCAGCAGGCUAACAAAUUUGGCUUGUCCUAGCUCUGGAUAUUUGGGGGUUCAUUUAAGGAGGAUGUCAACAGUAUAGAGGCUGGUUGAUAGAAAUAGAAUAAUGCGUACCAGGCCACAGGGUGCUAGAUGUUGUGCUCUGGUUUUGUUCACAUAAACACCAAGAUGGCUAUCGCGACUAGCAUUCUCAACAUCUCGAACUACGCAGGCUCCCAAUGUGACAUCAGCAUCUUGAUCUAGAAGGUUAGCAUUUAGCAAUUAAAGCGCUCCUUCCGCCUCAGCAUAUUAUAUUAGUUUGUAUAUACAAUGUACAUAUACAAUCUACAACAUAUAUAUGAAUAGUAUAUCUGAAAAUAUAGUUGCUACUUAUAUU
This is a long non-coding RNA of Zea mays, 2390 nucleotides long. RefSeq lists it as uncharacterized. The transcript has 2 exons. NCBI's taxonomy places the organism in Eukaryota, Viridiplantae, Streptophyta, Magnoliopsida, Poales, Poaceae. The record is from RefSeq and is a predicted model, not a curated record.